This is a long non-coding RNA of Anguilla rostrata (American eel), 595 nucleotides long. RefSeq lists it as uncharacterized. The transcript has 2 exons. NCBI's taxonomy places the organism in Eukaryota, Metazoa, Chordata, Actinopteri, Anguilliformes, Anguillidae. The record is from RefSeq and is a predicted model, not a curated record.
GGUGUGAUUUCCUCCUGUUGUGAAUGUGGGUUUCUGUUGUGGCUGUCUAUGAGUUGCUUUUGUGUGCAUCCUUUCUUUCUUUUAUUUUUUUUCAUUGGAGCGAAUAUUUGCGUGGGAUUAGGGGGGGAAACAAUACGACCACUUGCCUGGCAAAGAUCCAGCGGUGGAUGGGGGGGAGGGCUGGGACCUGGAAAGCGAGCGAGAGGUUGUGAGCGGUGGCGGAACCUUGGGCCUUGUCUUUGAUGCAACAGAACAAGAUUCCUGGUGAUAAGACAUGAGGCCAGCAUGCAGUGUAUCCAGCCAGUUGCUGCUGCUUUUCACUAUUCAGUUGACCAUCUGAUGUCCACACUGACUGCGUCUGAGAAGCAGGAUCGACCAGAAUUUCUACUAUGUGAUGAAACGGGCACAGUAUCACUGACUAAAAUCCUCCCACCCUGGAUUAUGCUGCAGCCAAUAGCGAGUGUCCCUGUAGUGUCUCUAGCUAUACUCUGGAUUUGAUGCCGGUUUCUGGACUUGAUACCAGACAAUGAGCCUCGUCCACUCACCAAAACUGUGUGUCAAUGGAAUGAGCCAGUAAACCUGAUAUGCAUUGUAA